This 453-nucleotide ribosomal RNA is filed under the name uncultured Alloprevotella sp. Its description in RNAcentral is "partial 16S ribosomal RNA". It matches the Rfam family "Bacterial small subunit ribosomal RNA", at positions 341 to 792 of the family's 1533-position model. The record is from RNAcentral. Lineage: Bacteria; Pseudomonadati; Bacteroidota; Bacteroidia; Bacteroidales; Prevotellaceae.
ACGGGAGGCAGCAGUGAGGAAUAUUGGUCAAUGGACGAGAGUCUGAACCAGCCAAGUAGCGUGCAGGAUGACGGCCCUCCGGGUUGUAAACUGCUUUUAGUUGGGAAUAAAAAAGGGAACGUGUUCCCUAUUGUAUGUACCAUCAGAAAAAGGACCGGCUAAUUCCGUGCCAGCAGCCGCGGUAAUACGGAAGGUCCGGGCGUUAUCCGGAUUUAUUGGGUUUAAAGGGAGCGUAGGCGGGCCUUUAAGUCAGUGGUAAAAGCGUGUGGCUCAACCAUACCACGCCAUUGAAACUGGAGGCCUUGAGUGCACACAGGGAUGCUGGAAUUCGUCGUGUAGCGGUGAAAUGCAUAGAUAUGGCGAAGAACUCCGAUUGCGUAGGCAGCUGACCAGGCCGUAAAUGACGCUCAUGCACGAAAGUGCGGGGAUCGAACAGGAUUAGAUACCCUGGUA